Non-coding RNA from Osmia lignaria (orchard mason bee), 845 nucleotides. The record is from RefSeq and is a predicted model, not a curated record. Lineage: Eukaryota; Metazoa; Arthropoda; Insecta; Hymenoptera; Megachilidae.
UAGCACCGUACAUCCCAGGGACGUCCGUUUCAUGUCCAGAUUAUGUCCGAACGUCCAACGUUCAUUUUGAACAUCCUUGGGAUGUCCACAAGACGUAUAUUUCGUAUGUCCUAGGAACGUCCGUCUUGAAGGUCCUACGGACAUAGAUGAGACGUAUGUCCAAAAUAGGGUAGAAUGACCCGUACGUCACCCGCGCGGCGAGAACGACCGAAGUUUGGGGCCUGCUGUUUUAUGACAAGGCCUAAACAGAAAACAGAUCCCGGGCGCUGACAAACGAUUGGCGGAAUUCCCAACUUGAGAAUAUGACGAGCCACCAUCGACACUUUUUCGUGAAACGCUGUUGCGACAAGACGUAUAGCGAGUCUCCAUACACUUUGAGUGUGAAUUUCAAGCGUUGACGAUCGUCAUAUUACGAGUGAAUAUUAGUAUUCCUUACUGGUGUUUAUAGUGUGUUGACGAGUUUUUCUGCCAUCUCAGGUAAUAAUGCCUUCUUUGAGACGACAACACAUAUGUUAUUCGUAUACGAUGCAUACCGAUUUCUUAUUCUUCUUUAUGAAAUGGUUGUGCGUACAAUUCUAUGUAUAUAUAUAUAUAUAUAUAUGAAAAACGUAUAGUCGGUAUCCAUCAUAUAUUAUUUUUUAUAUUUAUUUGUAUCGAAUUGAAUAUAUUAUUCAACUGAAUUUCUGUUAUUUAGACGCAGCACAAACAUCAAAAGUGUGCAAAGAUAAGAAAGAAACGGAGGUGUCCAUACCGUCUUGGCUAAGGAGAGCUGCGGAACGCAACAAGAUCAUUGUAAAAGAUUUUUAGUAGAAAUAAUAAAAUAAAUAAUAGAUAUGUAAUAAAAA